This 254-nucleotide ribosomal RNA is filed under the name uncultured bacterium. RNAcentral describes it as "partial 16S ribosomal RNA". It matches the Rfam family "Bacterial small subunit ribosomal RNA", at positions 524 to 776 of the family's 1533-position model. The record is from RNAcentral.
GACGUAGGGCGCGAGCGUUGUCCGGAUUUAUUGGGCGUAAAGAGCUCGUAGGUGGUUCGGUAAGUCGGAUGUGAAAUCUCCAGGCUCAACCUGGAGGGGUCAUUCGAUACUGCCGUGACUAGAGGUCGGUAGGGGAGUGUGGAAUUCCUGGUGGAGCGGUGAAAUGCGCAGAUAUCAGGAGGAACACCCGUAGCGAAGGCGGCACUCUGGGCCGAUACUGACACUGAGGAGCGAAAGCGUGGGGAGCGAACAGG